RNAcentral lists this unclassified non-coding RNA (375 nucleotides) under Hevea brasiliensis (rubber tree). The record is from RNAcentral. Lineage: Eukaryota; Viridiplantae; Streptophyta; Magnoliopsida; Malpighiales; Euphorbiaceae.
GGAGGAGGAGGAGGAAGAAGAAGACGAGCAGGAGGAGGAGGUGCAGGAGAAAGACAAAGGUGAAAGGGACAUCUCAUCUAAUAGACAAGAGGUACACCCAAUCAUCCUUGAUGCUUCUAUUGACGUGCCAUCAGAAAUAAGAAGAGCUGCUGUGAUGGAAACUUUAUCAACUGAGGAGAUGCAAGAACGAUUGGACCAGUUUUCUUACAUCAUGCAGGAAAAGUUUUUAUUAGGAGAAGAUAAUCUGGAUUACUCAAAAAUUGACGAGGAUGAGACCUUGGAUGAUCACUGGAUAAAAGAAGCAAAUUAUGAUGCUGAAGAGAAGUACUUUGAUGAUGACUGAGCUUUAAUUACCGAGUGGUUUUUAGCUUUUGA